AUCCCGUAAGCUCAGCCUGGUAGAGCUUUCGAAUCGACACCGAAGCGUCCCAGGUUCAAAUCCUGGCCGCGGGA
RNAcentral lists this transfer RNA (74 nucleotides) under Candidatus Bathyarchaeota archaeon. Its description in RNAcentral is "tRNA-Ser". The record is from RNAcentral. Lineage: Archaea; Thermoproteati; Candidatus Bathyarchaeota.